This 305-nucleotide ribosomal RNA is filed under the name uncultured bacterium. Its description in RNAcentral is "bacterial SSU rRNA". It matches the Rfam family "Bacterial small subunit ribosomal RNA", at positions 333 to 655 of the family's 1533-position model. The record is from RNAcentral.
CAGCCCCUACGGGGGGCAGCAGUGGGGAAUAUUGGACAAUGGGGGGAACCCUGAUCCAGCGACGCCGCGUGAGUGAAGAAGUAUUUCGGUAUGUAAAGCUCUAUCAGCAGGGAAGAAAAUGACGGUACCUGACUAAGAAGCCCCGGCUAACUACGUGCCAGCAGCCACGGUAAUACGUAGGGGGCAAGCGUUAUCCGGAUUUACUGGGUGUAAAGGGAGCGUAGACGGCAGGGCAAGUCUGGAGUGAAAGCCCGGGGCCCAACCCCGGGACUGCUUUGGAAACUGCCAUGCUAGAGUGCUGGAGG